This 1274-nucleotide small RNA is filed under the name Pan troglodytes (chimpanzee). RNAcentral describes it as "processed transcript". The record is from RNAcentral. Lineage: Eukaryota; Metazoa; Chordata; Mammalia; Primates; Hominidae.
GGGGACGCGGGCGGCAGAAAGUGGAGCUGGGCUGGUGUGCGCGCGCGGCCGGAGUCUGUGGAGCUGGAAAUUCACCGGUCCAGGAAGACGUCUUUCCCGCGUCCCAGCACCUCGGGCCACGCUCCUUCGUGAGAGCGCCCUCUCCAAGGAGGCCAGCCCUGGAUAUUUCACCCAAAAUAUUUAUUUUUUCUUUUUUUCUAGGCUCCUGUUUUCCUAAUAGCAUGAACAGACCCCCCGUCAGCUCCUACCCCUUGGUCUCUGACCUGUUCCUCCUCCGAGGUGACCUCUAUCCUGAAUUUUGAAAACAUAUUAGUAUUGCCUAUUUCUGGACUUUAUGCAGAUGAAGUCAUUGGUUCUCCCUCUGUCACCCAGAGCUGGAGUGCGGUGGCAUAAUCACAGCUAAUUGCAGCCUCAACAUUCCAGGCCCAAGGAUCCUCCCUUCAGCCUUCCAGGUAGCUGGGACCACAGGCAUGUACCACCACACCCAGCUAAUUUUUUAAAUUUUUGUAGAAAUAGGGAUCUCACUAUGUUGCCCAGGCUGGUCUCAAACUCCUGGGCUCAAGUGAUCCUCCUACCUUGGCCUCCCAAAGUGCUGGAAUUACAGGCAUGAACCACUAUGUCUGGCCAAAUUUACCCUUUACAAAGUAUAUAAUUCAGUGGUUUUUAGUAUACUCAUAGAGUUAUGAAGCAUCACUAUCUAAUUUUAUUUAAUUUUUAAUUUUUUAAUUUUUUGAGAUGGAGUGUCGCUCUCUCGCCCAGGCUGGAGUGCAGUGGCGCUAUCUCGGCUCACUGCAACCUCUGCUUCCCAGGUUCAAGUGAUUAUCCUGCCUCAGCCUCCCAAGUUGCUGGGAUUAGAGGCGUGUGCCACCAUGCCUGGCUAAUUUACUAAACUAAUAAAUUACUAAAUUAGUAAGUUACUAGUAAAUUAGUAAUUACUAAAAUAUAAUUUUUAGUAGAGAUGGGGUUUCAUCAUGUUGGCCAGGCUGGUCAUGAACUCCUGACCUCAAUGGAUCCUCCUGCCUCAGCUUCCUGAGUAGCUGGGACCACAGGUGCACACCACCAUGCCCAGGUAAUUAAUUUUUAUUUUUUGUAGAGUCGGGGUCUCCCUAUGUUUCCCAGGCUGGCCUCGAACUCCUGACCUCAAGUGAUCCUCCCACCUCAGCCUCCCAGAGUGCUGGGAUUAAAGACGUGAGCCACGGCACCUGGCCUGAAUUUUCCUCAAAUUCAAAAAAUGCUGAUGAAGGUUUGGCUAAAAUCUUUGGUGAGUUACCCCA